UAUAAAAUGAAGAUGAAAAUACCCAUUUCAAAUAUUUAUUUUGGGCCCUGGCUGGAUAACUCAGUUAGUUAGAACAUUGUCUCUAUACACCAAGGUUGGAGGUUUGAUCUCCAGUCAGUGCACAUGUAAGAAACAACCAAUAGAACAACAAGUCCAUGUUUCUCUCUCUCUCUCUCUCUCUCUCUCUCUCUCUCU
Pipistrellus kuhlii (Kuhl's pipistrelle) is the source of this 195-nucleotide long non-coding RNA. RefSeq lists it as uncharacterized. The record is from RefSeq and is a predicted model, not a curated record. Lineage: Eukaryota; Metazoa; Chordata; Mammalia; Chiroptera; Vespertilionidae. The transcript is spliced from 2 exons.